GGCACAAAUUUGAAGUAAAGUAGAAUUGUAUUAUCAGCUGACCCUACUAAACUACUCUAAUUCGAGUUUGGGCCC
This is a non-coding RNA of Haemonchus placei, 75 nucleotides long. Lineage: Eukaryota; Metazoa; Nematoda; Chromadorea; Rhabditida; Trichostrongylidae. The record is from Rfam.